Non-coding RNA from Leptidea sinapis, 74 nucleotides. The record is from the annotation of a RefSeq genome assembly. Lineage: Eukaryota; Metazoa; Arthropoda; Insecta; Lepidoptera; Pieridae.
GAACGGUUGGCUUAGUUGGUAAGAGCGCUCGCACGAAACGCGAGUGGUCGCGGGUUCGAGUCCCGCAUCGUUCA